This 301-nucleotide ribosomal RNA is filed under the name uncultured bacterium. Its description in RNAcentral is "partial 16S ribosomal RNA". It matches the Rfam family "Bacterial small subunit ribosomal RNA", at positions 509 to 807 of the family's 1533-position model. The record is from RNAcentral.
CAGUCGCCGCGGGAACACGGAGGGGGCUAGCGUUGUUCGGAAUUACUGGGCGUAAAGCGCACGUAGGCGGCUUGGUAAGUUAGAGGUGAAAGCCCAGGGCUCAACCCUGGAAUUGCCUUUAAGACUGCCGAGCUAGUAGGUGAGAGAGGUAAGUGGAAUUCCGAGUGUAGAGGUGAAAUUCGUAGAUAUUCGGAAGAACACCAGUGGCGAAGGCGGCUUACUGGCUCAUUCUAGACGCUGAGGUGCGAAAGCGUGGGGAGCAAACAGGAUUAGAGACCCCAGUAGUCCCUGUCUCUUAUAC